AAAUAUAUUUGGCAAACCUAUUGAAAAAUAGGGACGCAAAGCUACGAGUCUAAGGUAAAGUAAUUUGCUAUGAUUGUCGGGUUGCGCAU
RNAcentral lists this non-coding RNA (89 nucleotides) under Terribacillus aidingensis. RNAcentral describes it as "GEMM cis-regulatory element". It matches the Rfam family "c-di-GMP-I riboswitch aptamer". Rfam says of the family: GEMM was predicted in a large-scale screen for bacterial structured RNA regulatory elements. Genes associated with GEMM are involved in a diverse array of functions, including chemotaxis regulation, signal transduction, secretion and chitin. Lineage: Bacteria; Bacillati; Bacillota; Bacilli; Caryophanales; Bacillaceae. The record is from RNAcentral.